RNAcentral lists this unclassified non-coding RNA (21 nucleotides) under Mus musculus (house mouse). RNAcentral's name for it is "oocyte_clustered_small_RNA12033". The record is from RNAcentral. Lineage: Eukaryota; Metazoa; Chordata; Mammalia; Rodentia; Muridae.
UGGACUACCAGCCACACCAGC